UAUCUCUCUAUAUAUGUAUAUGUGUCUGUAUGCAUAUUUUAUCUCAUUACAUCUUCGGUCACGGACUGCUAUCAAUUCUCUUUAAAGUGAAUCUGGCCUUGCAUUUCAAGUAUCGACUUGUACAUUAGUACAUUUAGGCCAUCGAUUUCAUCAUUCCAUUUACCUAAUUUAAUUCAGUUGCAAAAGAAGCAGCGACGCCAGAUUCUGCUGUGAAGUUGCCAUUGACUGCAGAAAAUGUGGAGGGUUUGCUGGAUGAAAUCGGCCCUAUCUCAUUGCAGACGGUGGUAAAGUGGCAUUACACGAAAUUGAGGGAAAUGUUGUGAGGUUGAACCUACAAGGACAUGCAGCUCUUGUCCAAGUUCUGUGACGACUAUGAAGAUGGGUAUCGAGAUUCAAGCGUCGUUUAAUGGGAAAAAAAAUCCCUGAAAUAGUUGCUUUGGGACCAAUAGCAUGAGGAAACUGGCCUUGAGCUGAAUGAAGAAAACAUAGAGAAGAAGUUACCAGAAAGAUUCAUCUCAAAACAUUGUUUCUUCAGCCCAAAGGAGCUGAGCGUCCAAGAAGUCCAAGUGCUUUGACAAGAGUCUUUCUAAACCUUACAACAUCAAUAUUAAAAUUCUGCUUUAUAAGG
Long non-coding RNA from Rhododendron vialii, 628 nucleotides. RefSeq lists it as uncharacterized. The record is from RefSeq and is a predicted model, not a curated record. The transcript is spliced from 3 exons. Lineage: Eukaryota; Viridiplantae; Streptophyta; Magnoliopsida; Ericales; Ericaceae.